This 1443-nucleotide ribosomal RNA is filed under the name Triticum aestivum (bread wheat). RNAcentral's name for it is "partial small subunit ribosomal RNA". Lineage: Eukaryota; Viridiplantae; Streptophyta; Magnoliopsida; Poales; Poaceae. The record is from RNAcentral.
AUGCCCGCCAAGCUUCUCCGGACGCCCACCGCCCGGCGACGCCACCACUUGCCGGUGCUGCAUCUCGUUGCCGUCCUCCUGCUUGUGCCGCUCUCACGGCCGGCCUCGGCGUCGGCGUCGACGGUGGUCACCCACCUGCCAGGAUUCGAUGGCCCUCUCCCCUUCUACCUCGAAACCGGAUACGUGGGCGUGGAGGAGGAGACCGGGGCGGAGCUCUUCUACUACUUCGCCAAGUCGGAGCGGAGCCCCGGCACCGACCCCGUCAUCCUGUGGCUCACCGGCGGGCCUCGCUGCUCGGGCUUCAGCGGCUUCGCCUUCGAAGUUGGCCCCGUAAAGUAUGUGCGGGCGCCGUACACUGGAGUUUUGCCGCGGCUGGUACAGAACCCGCUGUCAUGGACCAAGAUGGCGAGCAUCAUCUUCCUGGAUUCGCCCGUCUGCUCGGGCUUCUCGUAUGCUCGUGACCCCAAAGGCUGCGAUGUCGGAGACUACUCGUCCUCUCUGCAAGUCCAAAGAUUCCUGAAUAAGUGGUUCACUCAUCACCCGCAGUACCUUUCAAAUCCUUUCUACCUUGGAGGAGAUUCAUACGCUGGAAAGGUGAUUCCACUUAUUGCAACAUACAUGUCACAAGGAACUGAAAAAAGGGACCAGCCUCUCAUUAAUCUCAAGGGCUACCUGAUCGGCAAUCCUAUAACAGAACCAAAGUUCGAUAAAAAUUUCCAAGUUCAAGGGGCUCAUGGCUUUGGGAUAAUAUCUGACCAAAUAUAUGAGGCUGCAAUGAAAAACUGCAAAGGAAAUUAUGUAAACCCCACGAAUCAACUGUGUGCUGAGGUGCUAGAAACUGUAGACAGUCUCAUUUCUGAAAUCGCAGAUGCACAUGUCUUGUAUAAAAAAUGUGUCGUCGCCAUUCCAGAGCCCAUAGAUGAUGCCAUAAGAAGAAAAUUCCUGCUAGAAGAAUCAAUCGAGCCAAAUGAAGCGCCUGGUCGACCUACCGUCGAUUGUUUUACAUACGGUUACUACCUGGCAUACUUGUGGAUGAACAACAAGAUGACUAGAGAUGCUCUCAGGAUCAAGGAGGGAACAGUUGGCGAGUGGGUGAGAUGCAAAAAAGAAGUCCCCUACACACAGGACAUGCCAAGCAGCAUACCGUACCAUCGCAAUCUCACCACAAGAGGUUACCGUGCACUUGUGUACAGCGGAGACCAUGAUCUCCAGGUGCCUCAGCUCAGUACGCAGGCGUGGAUAAGAUCUUUGAACUUCUCCAUUGUCGAUGACUGGAGGGCAUGGCAUCUCGACGGCCAGGCUGCAGGGUUGAGUCACCUGACUCCCUUUUUUGCACUUGAGCAUAUGCAAAAUAAGAUAUUCGUGACAUAUGCAUUUUUUUCUGAUGAGCAAUACAUUGUUUCUUUCUUUGCAGAUUUACCAUCACAUAUGCAAAUAAGUUGA